This 362-nucleotide long non-coding RNA is filed under the name Brassica napus (rape). RNAcentral's name for it is "long non-coding RNA (BNAP_LNC013734)". The record is from RNAcentral. Lineage: Eukaryota; Viridiplantae; Streptophyta; Magnoliopsida; Brassicales; Brassicaceae.
AUGGAGACUAGAAUUUCGUCGGAGAAAGAAGAAGAAACGAAGCGGUUCUCGAUUCUAGAGAGUUGAGACCCGAGAAAUAAGAGGGAGAGAGGACGUCUACGGAGAGAUUAAUGGAUUCUUGAUUUAGACGAAGGAGGACGACGAAGAAAGCCACAACGCACGGAGGCUAGGGUUUCGUCGCAAUCGCAAGAGAGAAGCCGGAGAGGAACGAGACGGGAUUUAGAUUUAGGUGGAGAGGGAGAGAGACAAAACGCUUCGUUUAGAGAAUAGGAUCCGGUUCAGUUUGGUUGGGUCGGGUAGAGCAGGUCGGGUUGGUAAUAAGUUGGUUUCAUUAAGGUCCCUAGCGUCUUUAACCACGUUUU